UUGGUUGAAGCCAAAAAGGAGGCAUUUUAAUGUUAAUAAAAGAAUUGAAUUAUAUUCCAACUAAA
Molecule: transfer RNA, 65 nt
Filed under: Tettigades distanti
Lineage: Eukaryota; Metazoa; Arthropoda; Insecta; Hemiptera; Cicadidae
Description: tRNA-Asn
Source: RNAcentral